This 500-nucleotide ribosomal RNA is filed under the name uncultured KB1 group bacterium. RNAcentral's name for it is "bacterial SSU rRNA". It matches the Rfam family "Bacterial small subunit ribosomal RNA", at positions 338 to 830 of the family's 1533-position model. The record is from RNAcentral. Lineage: Bacteria; Candidatus Calescibacteriota.
CCUACGGGAGGCAGCAGUGGGGAAUCUUCCACAAUGGACGCAAGUCUGAUGGAGCGACGCCGCGUGGGGGAAGAAGGCCUUCGGGUUGUAAACUCCUUUUCUGGGGGACGAAUUAGGUAGGCAGGUAAUGGUCUACCGAUGACGGUACCCCAGGAACAAGCACCGGCUAACUUCGUGCCAGCAGCCGCGGUAAAACGAAGGGUGCAAGCGUUAUCCGGAAUCACUGGGCGUAAAGGGCGUCUAGGCGGCCGGUUAAGUCGACGGUGAAACUCCUCGGCCCAACUGAGGAUGGUCCGUCGAAACUGACCGGCUUGAGGGACGCAGAGGGGGGCGGAACUCUCGGAGUAGCGGUGGAAUGCGUAGAUACCGAGAGGUAUCUCGAUGGCGAAAGCAGCCCCCUGGGCGUACCCUGACGCUGAAGCGCUAAGGCCAGGGGAGCCAAGGGGAUUAGAUACCCCCGUAGUCCUGGCUGCAAACGAUGUGGGCUAGGUAUCGGGCCA